ACGGCAGCAUAAUCUUCGGAUUGAUGGCGAGUGGCGGACGGGUGAGUAAUAUAUAGGAAUCUGCCUUGUAGUGGGGGAUAACUAUCCGAAAGGAUAGCUAAUACCGCAUAAUGAUUACGGUUUAAAGCAGGGGAUCUUCGGACCUUGCGCUACAAGUUGAGCCUAUACAAGAUUAGCUAGUUGGUGAGGUAAAGGCUCACCAAGGCGACGAUCUUUAGCUGGUCUGAGAGGAUGAUCAGCCACACUGGGACUGAGACACGGCCCAGACUCUUACGGGAGGCAGCAGUGGGGAAUAUUGGACAAUGGGCGCAAGCCUGAUCCAGCAAUACCGCGUGUGUGAAGAAGGCCUUCGGGUUGUAAAGCACUUUUGUUAGGGAGGAUGGUGAUUUUGGCGAAUACCCAAAGUCAUUGACGUUACCUAAAGAAUCAGCACCGGCUAACUCCGUGCCAGCAGCCGCGGUAAUACGGAGGGUGCAAGCGCUAAUCGGAUUUACUGGGCGUAAAGGGUGCGUAGGCGGUUACUUAAGUCAGAUGUGAAAUCCCCGGGCUCAACCUGGGAAUUGCAUUUGAUACUGGGUGACUUAGAAUGUGGUAGAGGGUAGCGGAAUUUCUGGUGUAGCGGUGAAAUGCGUAGAUAUCA
This 640-nucleotide ribosomal RNA is filed under the name uncultured bacterium. Its description in RNAcentral is "bacterial SSU rRNA". It matches the Rfam family "Bacterial small subunit ribosomal RNA", at positions 66 to 699 of the family's 1533-position model. The record is from RNAcentral.